RNAcentral lists this ribosomal RNA (200 nucleotides) under uncultured bacterium. Its description in RNAcentral is "partial 16S ribosomal RNA". It matches the Rfam family "Bacterial small subunit ribosomal RNA", at positions 1301 to 1500 of the family's 1533-position model. The record is from RNAcentral.
UAGUCUGCAACUCGACUACAUGAAGCUGGAAUCGCUAGUAAUCGCAGAUCAGAAUGCUGCGGUGAAUACGUUCCCGGGUCUUGUACACACCGCCCGUCACACCAUGGGAGUCGGGAAUGCCCGAAGUCAGUGACCCAACCGCAAGGAGGGAGCUGCCGAAGGCAGGCUCGAUAACUGGGGUGAAGUCGUAACAAGGUAAC